CAGCUUUAAAGGUGCCUAUUUCCCUGGUUUGUUUUUUGCAGGAACUCCAGGGGUGACUAGCUGUGAUGGAAGCAGCCAUACUGAAGACAGCAAGGGUCGGAUCCCUGGUGUUCCUGAAAUACACAGCAAGGAGGUCAAGAGCAAUGCAGGCACCAAGCCCUCCCCUGAGCACGGCGUGGUGGGGCCAGGGUGGAGCUCAGCUCUUCGGGAGCCCCCAGGAGCUGGCAUGCAGCACCACAUCUCGCCUGUCUUCGUAAAGAGUGGCCAAGCUUUCCCCUUUGAGCUCUGCUCACAGGAAAGAGGGAUUUAAAUAUUUAUUCGUGACAGACAACGACCUUGUACUUUAUAUGGAGUGCUUCAUCCUUGCAAUCUCAGAGCACUUUAUAAAUAGAUAGAAGACAUCAAAGAAGAAAAAGAGUGCUCAAGGGCAGAAGCAUCACACCAUGGGUCUUUAUUAAGGAAGCUAUGAAGACCCCUUUGCCUUUUAUAAAUGAAGAGAUUUUUGCACAUAAUUCAGUAAGUUUGAUGCUGAUAUUGGUUCUUACCCAGCUAACAUCUUACAAAAGCCAUUACCCUCCUUUACCUUUCCACAAGUUUUUCCAUUUGUGCUUUGAGCAAGGUGAAAGAGCUUCCACGUGGGGAAUUUGUGCCUGCUGAGUUGGGUGCUUUGAGGGACAGGUUAAGAGACACAAAUCUCCCAGAACCAGUGCUGACCCUUGGGCCAGCAGAUGUGAAGCCUGGAAUUUGUACACUAACAGGUCAGGAAAGCAAAAGGUUUGAAAGGAAGGCUUUUAUUUUUGGGAUCCAGGCUCUCCAAAGUGGUUGAAGGACUGGGACUGCCCCGUGCAGGCUGGUGGAGCCUGGCCUGCAGCAAGCCCUGAACUCCAUCAGGGUGGGCUUGUUAUCACUGUCGUGUGUUUGACACCC
Long non-coding RNA from Prinia subflava (tawny-flanked prinia), 927 nucleotides. RefSeq lists it as uncharacterized. The transcript is spliced from 4 exons. Lineage: Eukaryota; Metazoa; Chordata; Aves; Passeriformes; Cisticolidae. The record is from RefSeq and is a predicted model, not a curated record.